CUAGGGCUCCAGAGGAAGCCACGGCUAACUCUGUGCCAGCAGCCGCGGUAAUACAGAGGCGGCAAGCGUUGUUCGGAAUUAUUGGGCGUAAAGAGCACGUAGGCGGCCUUGCAAGUCAGUUGUGAAAGCCUUCCGCUUAACGGAAGAAUGCCAGCUGAUACUACAGGGCUUGAGUACGGGAGGAGAGAGUGGAACUUCUGGUGGAGCGGUGAAAUGCGUAGAUAUCAGAAGGAACGCCGGCGGCGAAAGCGACUCUCUGGCCCGAAACUGACGCUGAGUGUGCGAAAGCUAGGGGAGCAAACGGGAUUAGAUACCCCGGUAGUCCUAGCCGUAAA
Molecule: ribosomal RNA, 335 nt
Filed under: uncultured Planctomycetales bacterium
Lineage: Bacteria; Pseudomonadati; Planctomycetota; Planctomycetia; Planctomycetales
Description: bacterial SSU rRNA
Rfam family: Bacterial small subunit ribosomal RNA
Source: RNAcentral